This is a long non-coding RNA of Uranotaenia lowii, 736 nucleotides long. RefSeq lists it as uncharacterized. NCBI's taxonomy places the organism in Eukaryota, Metazoa, Arthropoda, Insecta, Diptera, Culicidae. The record is from RefSeq and is a predicted model, not a curated record. The transcript has 3 exons.
CCACUGUUCUCUCAUCCGCCGUAAAAACCCUGCCGCCUCCAAUCAAAAUGGCCCGAAUUUAUGCAAUCCUUUGCUUUGUGAUACUUUCCCUAAUUUCUGUGGUCCGGUGUGGUCCCGUUUUUACGGUCUCAAUGCUUCCAACAAUCCAAAUUCCAUCCCUCUAUCCGUCCUCGGGCUCAUCGAUACCUGGACUUGCUAGCUUCCGUGGCAAGGGUUCGAUGCAAUACUCGGGAUAAAAAUUGAUACCAAUCUUAUUUGAAUUAUUUUCUCGAAUAUCAAGUUAAUCUAUUGAUACCAUUUUUAAACAAUGUUUCGGUUUCAUGAUUGAUAAAACAUUUGAAUAAAUAUCGGUUUUUGACCCCUUUUAACUCUUCAAAGGAAAUGUUUACUCACCUGAAUCAUUAAAAACUCCAUACUUUUUGCUAUUGACGCAUGUUUAUAAAUACAAAAAGCAUAUCCAGAAAUGAAGCCAUUAUACUUUGAGCUUUUGUACUAAGCUUGUCGUAAUCCCAAUCGAAAUGGAUCAAAUUAUUUUCACUCUUUGCGCUGGGAUCUUUUCGUUGGUUCCUCUGGUCCUUAGCAGUCCCAUGUACAAAGUUUGGGUGAUGUUACCUACAGAAGAUUAUCCGUAGUAAUAUGCAGCCUCGGGAAUAAUUCCAUUUUAAUUUUUUCUAACGAUUAAAUAAAGGAAGUUCAAAACUAAGGUGCAAGUUUAUUUUUUGAAAUAAGUUUUUUU